AAAUGAAUUGACGGGGACCCGCACAAGCAGCGGAGCAUGUGGUUUAAUUCGAAGCAACGCGAAGAACCUUACCAGGCCUUGACAUCCUCUGACCGUCUUAGAGAUAAGAUUUUCCCUUCGGGGACAGAGAGACAGGUGGUGCAUGGUUGUCGUCAGCUCGUGUCGUGAGAUGUUGGGUUAAGUCCCGCAACGAGCGCAACCCCUGUGAUUAGUUGCCAUCAUUCAGUUGGGCACUCUAAACAGACUGCCGUAGACAAUACGGAGGAAGGUGGGGACGACGUCAAAUCAUCAUGCCCCUUAUGGCCUGGGCUACACACGUGCUACAAUGGUCUGAACAGAGGGCAGCGAAACCGUGAGGCGGAGCGAAUCCCACAAAACAGAUCUCAGUUCGGAUUGUAGGCUGCAACCCGCCUACAUGAAGAUGGAGUUGCUAGUAAUCGCGGAUCAGAAUGCCGCGGUGAAUGCGUUCCCGGGUCUUGUACACACCGCCCGU
This 493-nucleotide ribosomal RNA is filed under the name uncultured bacterium. RNAcentral's name for it is "bacterial SSU rRNA". It matches the Rfam family "Bacterial small subunit ribosomal RNA", at positions 903 to 1397 of the family's 1533-position model. The record is from RNAcentral.